RNAcentral lists this ribosomal RNA (397 nucleotides) under uncultured bacterium. RNAcentral describes it as "bacterial SSU rRNA". It matches the Rfam family "Bacterial small subunit ribosomal RNA", at positions 30 to 426 of the family's 1533-position model. The record is from RNAcentral.
AUUGAACGCUGGCGGCAUGCCUUACACAUGCAAGUCGAACGGCAGCACGGGGGCAACCCUGGUGGCGAGUGGCGAACGGGUGAGUAAUAUAUCGGAACGUACCCUGGAGUGGGGGAUAACGUAGCGAAAGUUACGCUAAUACCGCAUACGAUCUAAGGAUGAAAGUGGGGGAUCGCAAGACCUCAUGCUCCUGGAGCGGCCGAUAUCUGAUUAGCUAGUUGGUGGGGUAAAGGCCUACCAAGGCAUCGAUCAGUAGCUGGUCUGAGAGGACGACCAGCCACACUGGGACUGAGACACGGCCCAGACUCCUACGGGAGGCAGCAGUGGGGAAUUUUGGACAAUGGGGGGCAACCCUGAUCCAGCAAUGCCGCGUGAGUGAAGAAGGCCUUCGGGUUGU